RNAcentral lists this ribosomal RNA (253 nucleotides) under uncultured bacterium. RNAcentral's name for it is "partial 16S ribosomal RNA". It matches the Rfam family "Bacterial small subunit ribosomal RNA", at positions 524 to 776 of the family's 1533-position model. The record is from RNAcentral.
UACGUAGGGUGCGAGCGUUAAUCGGAAUUACUGGGCGUAAAGAGUGCGUAGGUGGUUUAUUGCGCCAGAUGUGAAAUCCCCGGGCUUAACCUGGGAAUGGCAUAUGGUACGGGUAAACUAGAGUACGGUAGAGGGGGGUAGAAUUCCAUGUGUAGCAGUGAAAUGCGUAGAGAUGUGGAGGAAUACCGAUGGCGAAGGCAGCCCCCUGGACUGACACUGACACUGAGGCACGAAAGCGUGGGGAGCAAACAGG